RNA transcript from Athalia rosae (coleseed sawfly), 3006 nucleotides. RefSeq lists it as uncharacterized. The record is from RefSeq and is a predicted model, not a curated record. The transcript has 3 exons. Lineage: Eukaryota; Metazoa; Arthropoda; Insecta; Hymenoptera; Athaliidae.
UUUUACCAACGACGUCGUUCGACUGGCCAUAUUUUCGGGCCCGAUACGAGCGAUGUUCGAAAUUCUUGCUCUCUGUAGCUGCGCAUGUGUGACAUGUCUUUGGUGUGCAGUCGCUGCUUUAACGUGUCCUAAAAUCGUUAGCGUUCGAUCCCACUGUGAAGAAUCUGAAAUUUGGUGAGUUUUUAAUGGGAUAAAAACAGAAAAUCUACUAUUUUCGUUAAUCCUGAAUUAUUUUCAACGGCCCACAGUCCGUUUUCCUCUACCUUGAUGAAAAACUGUGCGGCUGGAAUGGUCCCCCCGCACAUGUAUCCGCAAUAUUACGGCCCGCAUCCAUGGCUACCAAUUUACUUGCAGAAUCCAACCGAGGACUACAACUACCCUUUUUUAAUGUGUCCCGGACAAUGGCCACUACAUAAUUAUUCCCUGUCCUCCGUUUCAAGCUCGGAGACGAACACGCAACAAUCUUCCGAAGCUUUUACGAAAAAAAGGUGAGGAUUCUGAUAUCUCAGAGACAACGAAGCGAUAUUUUCGAGUCUUGUAUUUUACAAUUUUUCGAGGACGAGGAACAAGAAAAGUCACUACGUAAAAUCAGCAGCUGCGAAACGAGAUGCGGAAUCUCAAAGCGUCGGAGUUCUUACCCCUCCGAGGUCGAAUUCUGAACAAUUUUCGGUGUGCAGUGGCCGAAACUGUAAUUCACCCUGUCCCGUGCCGCCUCCAAGAUCACGACGAAAUCGGCGAGUGAUCGUUAAAUUUUUCACGCGCUAGGAUCAUCGGUUGCCAAGAAUAUUGAACGACUUUAUAAAUCGAACUUUCGCAGAUUGAAAUCGAUAUUGAAACCGAAAUCCAGAAAAAUCCAGGAGUGUCGAAUCGCCCCAUCCACCGUUAAGAUCGUCAAAGAAUCCGAUACCGAAACCAUGACGAACACGUCUUCGACGUGUAGCUCGUCUCAAAGUCAAACAGGACCUCGAACGGACAGAUUCAAAUGCCUGAGAAAAUUCUGCCGAUCAUCCCGAUCGAAGACAUCGCAAACGUGCGCUCCAAGUCUCGGAGUAAUAUCUCGACAUCGUAGAUCAACUUCGACUCAAAAACUGGAACCUGGACACCCCGUUGUCUCGACUAAUUAUCCCGCUUCCGAAAACGAUUCAGGCGAUCAAACCGACGCAGAGUUUUGUCGCGAUUUUACAUCCCACGUUCCCGAGCAGUUCUGCAAGACAAGAACGAGGGAUUCAAAAUCAAAGAUUUCUGGAAUUCGUCACUUCGGAAAAAGACGCAAUUGCUUCGCCCGACGAACUCCUGUGAUUCCAUGCAACUCGUACUACGGAAGAUGAUGAUUACACAGUUUUGAAAAAUUCUAUCGAAAAUAAAACUUUGAGAAUUGAGCAUACUACUAUAUCUGUUCACUUCCAACGGAGCUGACUCGGAUAAGAAUCUAGAGAUAAAAUAAAAAUUCCGAAUCGAUAUGUUUCUUAGUUGGGGAAAAAGUACUGUAGCAAAAGUAGAAUUUGAAAUUCUAUCGAGUAGUGAAAAAAAUCCUUUCAAAAAUAGAAAACUACUGUAUUAUGCACAGUACAUCCGACUAACGUCACGAACCAUCGACAACAAAAUUUGCGUAUGUAUCUAUAAUAUCUACUGCGUCUAAUUUGCAAGCGUUAUUAACUAUGCAGUUUGUUCAUUCAAUUUUUGUUCAAACCUGAACUCCUUUCAAGCAUAUUGAACGUCAUCGUAUGUCGUCAACGUCAACAAGGCAACAAGAUCUGAAUGCCUAUGAACCGAGUCUAGUCAAGCUCUUCCAUUCUGAAAACUAUGAAAAUGAAGUAGCUUUCAUCUAUUCGAGAGUUCAAGAAAAUUAAGAAUGAGUUGUGCACCGGAUUUUUACGUUUUCUUCCCCCAAUGAUUUUCCUUGAAGAUCAAUUUUUUUCAGUUAUACCGUCAGGUUACAGAAAAAUGAAACCGGAUCUUUAUUUGACUCAUUAUUCAUUAAGAGAGAAUAAAGACGCGGUGUAAUAUAAUCAUUCUUCAUUUAUCUUUAUUACUAGCUUAUAAACUUACAGGGAUUAAUUUUUCAUAAGAACGAUAAUUAUCAACAAUCCCUGCUCGCAUACGUGUAUAGAAACCUCAGUCGCAAUUCAAGGAGAUAAAUAUAUAAUAAACGCAUCUUUUAUUGCACAAAUUUACGUCCGAUCCGAUUCCUCGUCCUUAAAAAUAUCGAAUAUCUGGGUCACGAUCGUGAUUCACGUUAGUUGCUUUUUUUUGAAGGUAUUUAAUGUCCAUGCAAAUUCGUUUCUUUCACAAAAAAAGAACUCGUCGAAUCAUUUUCUUCCGAAGAGAGAAAAAAUAAAACUGAAAAAAAAAACAAACGCAAAAACGGAUUCCGCCUCGCCGUAAGCAAACGAAUUCAAUGUAAAAUGCUGAUAUUUGAUUCGAAUUGAACCUGAAUUUGAAUUAAAAUUACACGCCGUCUGAAAAUGCGGGUUCGAAGAUAAAACAAAAAAAUUUCAAAACUAUUCUCAACUCAAAACACUAUCUCGCGUGCAGACGAAAACAAGUUUUUGCGACGGAUGAAUUCACCUAUAUAGGAAACGGUCAUACGAAUAUUUAUGCAAAUUAAUUCAUCCUGAAGAAAAAAAAAAUCAUUCUUAUCUCUUUUUUGAUGCAGAAUUGUACAUCAAAUUUCUAUAUUCUUAUCGUUCUCGAAAAUUCUAUACGCAUGGCCCUACGAUUUUCUCGUCAAGUAAGGUCGAAAAUGAAAAUCAUUGCAGCGCAUGUUUAAUGCAAUUGUCAAAUUAUAAUUCUCGUGCUCUUUCUGUUAACAUUACAUGCUUUUUAAUUUAUGUAUAUUUUUAUUUUAGCAUGAUGGGAUGACGUCACGAUAUAUGCCGUAGUUUACAAUUGGUUAUUAAAUAAAUGGUUAAACAAAUUUUGUACUUGUAAAAAAUGCGAAUAAAAUGAAAACUAAAAAUGCAAUACAAAUAAUUUUUUUCGCAAACGCCAUAUUAUACGGACACU